GUUCAUGAGCGUCCAACAAUGAUGACGUAAUCACAGUUUAUAAAUAAACAAUCGAACGACUGUCACGGACUUCUUGGAGACGGUGCCAUCUUGUAAAGACACCCCUCCACAGCAUGAGGGCCAAGUGGAGAAAGAAGCGUAUGCGCAGGCUGAAGCGCAAGAGGCGAAAGAUGAGGCAGAGGUCAAAAUAGAUUGCCCCCUUACAAAACCAUGUCUGUGACCUUUCUCAUGGACACAACACGAGCACUUGGGAGAUCCUUGGUCCCAAGUCUGGAACAAGACACAGGCCAAUGAGAUGCUAUGAAGAGAUGGCGCUAUUGUUGGUCAACCACCUGCCUGGGAGAUUUGAUAUGGGGACAUUGUGUUCUUUACUCUUCUACGAAACCAUCCCUACUCCAUUGCAUUUGUUGAUAUUUUCAAAGUUUUUGAUUUAAAAUUAAGUGGACUCAAUAUUGAUCUGAAACUGGGUCUAAAAAUGUCAAGAGGCCAUUUAUUUUUCAUUAUGCCCAAUCAAGUUCAGUUGCAAAGAUUUGUAACGCUAACCUGAGGGGUAUCCUACGACGCAGGUUCAAGGGAACUUUGAACUCGGGAUAACCAGUCAUACUGAAGUGGCUCACCUUUUGGCUUGGUCAAUUUAGGGCAAUGAAGUCUUAAACUGACCUGCUCCAGGUCUCUCUAACUAAUUGAACUGAGUGGAGGCCUAAUCUGAUUACCCUCUUGCAGAGACUCAUCAUUUGAGGAAGACUGAUUAAAUGUUUUAUGACAGAAUGCAUGUGAAAAUUAAUGCAAUGCAACACUGACUUACAAAUAUGGGGGAUGCUUGUGCAUAACGCUCUGUUUUUGACUGCUUCAAAAGGUUGGCCGCUUCGAUAGGCGUGACUAUUCAAACAUAUUUAGCUAAUGUGCCACUAACAAACUACAUACUCUAGUUAAGUGAAAUAUAAGCUAGCAUAAUCUAAGGCUGAGGCCGUUUGGAUGUGCUUACAAAUUCUCUAAAAUGAGGUGGUCUACGGUACAAAAUAAACAUUCUCUGGUGGCUAUUCCUGCAGUCAGUAACCCAAUUGCAUGCUCCCUCAACUUGAGACAUAAAGGAUCAGGUGCUCACUAACGGAUGUGCACAAUUUGAGAAAUAAACUUUUGUGGAUAUGGAGUGUU
This is a long non-coding RNA of Oncorhynchus kisutch (coho salmon), 1155 nucleotides long. RefSeq lists it as uncharacterized. The record is from RefSeq and is a predicted model, not a curated record. The transcript is spliced from 3 exons. Lineage: Eukaryota; Metazoa; Chordata; Actinopteri; Salmoniformes; Salmonidae.